UGUGUGUGUGUGUGUGUGUGUGUGGGUGUGUGUGUGUGUGUGUGUGUGUGUGUGUGAUCCAUGUUUGUGCACGAACCAGAUGUGUGCAAUCCUGCAUGUUUUGGCAAUGAUCUGACACCAAGUAAAUACAUCGGCCCCUGGUACCGAUACUGAUACCGAUACUUUGUGUUUAAGUUUGACUUAUCAUCAAAGUUCUGACCUCCAGGUAUGUUUUCUCUGAAUUACUUUGUUCCAACUUACAAUGUUUAGAUAAAGUUUUUGGGCAUUUACAAAGGAAAACUUUAAUAGUAUAUUAACAUGAUUUGUGUGCAAUAUUUCUAAACAAAGUGCAAAAUAUUAUUGUUUCAGAGCAAAUCAAAAUGGUUUGAGAGAGAGUUGAGAAAUUAAAAUACAAAAAUGAAAAAAAUUCCAGAUGGAAUCUGAAACUAUAUCAGUCUUAUCAAGCUAGUAUCGAUCUGAUACUGAUAUCGACUUGGUACCGAUAUUAUUGAUAUUUUGGAAGGAUCCGCCCACCUCUGGCAUGUCCUGUUUGAAGCUUUAAAAUGUGAGAACUGGUUUAAUUUAGUCUUUGAUUAAUUAAUUUCAUGUCUCUUUGUUUUUUUUAUGUGUUUUUUUUUCAUUUUCACAACUUCAGCCUACCACAAUGUACGAUUGUAAACACAAAGCCCAACAGUACCUGCAAACGUGUUGCAAUGGGAUUUAAAAAACUAAAACUAUCUGAUUCAUUUCAGUCUGAUAAAAAUAAAAAAGUCACCCUAAAGGUUUAAGAAACCACUUUGACUAUACCAGUGAAAUCUACUUGAUAGAUCCUAACAGCAAACGGAGAAGCGGUGGAGAGGACAGAGUGGGUUUAAUCCCUUCCCCCCAUGAAGCUGGGCUCAAACGGACUCAAUCAGGGUGAUGCAACUGAAUAUUUCGGUUUUUCAGACCAAACUGUGCGAUCGGCACCGAGGGGCUGAAAACGUCCAGAACCGGGCGGCACGAGGAGAGGAGGGAGGGAUGGAGGAAAUGCAGACGUUCUCCUUCAGACUGGUUGAGUUUUCCAAAGAACUCACAAUGCCAUUCCUCAGUCCGACAUACAGCAGAUUGAAACCAGUCCAGGCUCUUCAGUGGUGCAUCUAUCCAACUCAUUCCAUGGUUUUCCAUGAACAUCCGGUUCCUCUGUUAAAACUGUCUUUGAUUUUCACAUGUUUUUCUUUCAUAAAUAUGUGUGUCAUAUUCUGUAAAGGUCGGUAAAGCUACUCAUACCUGAUACAGUUGUUCAACUAAGAACUGUGAUGAUCCAAAGCACAAUAAAUUUCUUAUGCGAGAUA
Molecule: long non-coding RNA, 1313 nt
Organism: Poecilia reticulata (guppy)
Lineage: Eukaryota; Metazoa; Chordata; Actinopteri; Cyprinodontiformes; Poeciliidae
Source: RefSeq, a predicted model, not a curated record